AUGGAGAGCGCAGCAGUGUUGAGAAGAGGAAAAAAAAGAAAAACCGCUGACUUGCGAGAAAAGCCCUUUUGUGCGCAAAGCAGUCAAAAUGCAAAGCCGCUGUCGGUCGGUCGGUCGGUCGGUCAGGCGUGUGGGAAUAUCUUCCAUGAGAAGCGGGCCGGGGGUGGGACAGCGACUUAUGUUCUCACACUCAACUUUGAGGCGGGUUCACACGCCGGUCCGGGUUGCGGCGGCCGCUCGGUUCACGCCCUCCCCGCAGCGUCCCCCGGAGGGGUGGGGCCUACCUUAAGACGUUCCAGCUCUUCAGGGGGUCCAGGUCAGAAAUGAUAGAAACCAUGAUGACAGGUUAGAGGUGAACGGCGAGCUAACGUUUGGUGCCAAAAGACGCCUCUCGGAGACGCUUUGGUGGCACGUCGUGUUCUCCGCACGGCCACGCCAGCCAGCCAGCCAGCCAGCCACCGUGUUGCCAGCUUUAAAUAGACACUAUCUGCUGGGCUGAGGAGGAGAAGAAGAAGGAGGAGGAGGAGGAGGAGGAGGAGGAGGAGGAGGGAUAGACUUGACAGCCUCUCGCUCUUCUUCCUUGCUUGCUAUUUUGGUCCCUCGCCUUCACACACACACACACACACACACACACCACACACACCACACAAAUCAUGCUGGCUGACAAUGUUAAUUUGUGCGUAAUAAUCUCAUUGCUGUGGGUGGAGGUGUCGCUGGGUGCACGUGGGAAAUAAGACGAAGGAAAUAAAAAAAUAGAGAGAGA
Syngnathus typhle (broad-nosed pipefish) is the source of this 763-nucleotide long non-coding RNA. RefSeq lists it as uncharacterized. NCBI's taxonomy places the organism in Eukaryota, Metazoa, Chordata, Actinopteri, Syngnathiformes, Syngnathidae. The transcript has 2 exons. The record is from RefSeq and is a predicted model, not a curated record.